AUUGAACGCUGGCGGCAGGCUUAACACAUGCAAGUUGGGCGGGGGAAGGUAGCUUGCUACCGGACCUAGCGGCGGACGGGUGAGUAAUGCUUAGGAAUCUGCCUAUUAGUGGGGGACAACAUCUCGAAAGGGAUGCUAAUACCGCAUACGUCCUACGGGAGAAAGCAGGGGAUCUUCGGACCUUGCGCUAAUAGAUGAGCCUAAGUCGGAUUAGCUAGUUGGUGGGGUAAAGGCCUACCAAGGCGACGAUCUGUAGCGGGUCUGAGAGGAUGAUCCGCCACACUGGGACUGAGACACGGCCCAGACUCCUACGGGAGGCAGCAGUGGGGAAUAUUGGACAAUGGGGGGAACCCUGAUCCAGCCAUGCCGCGUGUGUGAAGAAGGCCUUGUGGUUGUAAAGCACUUUAAGCGAGGAGGAGGCUACUCUAGUUGAUACCUAGGGAUAGUGGACGUUACUCGCAGAAUAAGCACCGGCUAACUCUGUGCCAGCCGCCGCAGUAA
Molecule: ribosomal RNA, 501 nt
Filed under: uncultured bacterium
Lineage: Bacteria
Description: partial 16S ribosomal RNA
Rfam family: Bacterial small subunit ribosomal RNA
Source: RNAcentral